This 1800-nucleotide long non-coding RNA is filed under the name Triticum aestivum (bread wheat). Its description in RNAcentral is "long non-coding RNA (TAES_LNC010520)". The record is from RNAcentral. Lineage: Eukaryota; Viridiplantae; Streptophyta; Magnoliopsida; Poales; Poaceae.
AUACUCAGUUGAUUUUUCAGGGAUUGGAGAUUGAUCUUAUUUGUUUGGUUGUCCGUGGAUUCAAAGAUGAAGUAGAUAGUAAAGGCCAAGGCAACGGGCAUCAGACAUGUUAAUUUUUCUGAACUCUACUAUGGAACAUGUGUUUCUGAAUUUCUGCCAAAGUGUCAACUGUGGAUCGUACAUAGUAGUGCUCUUUUGAUAGUAGGUGGUCUGAAUUUCUGUCAAAGUGAUAAUGUGGAUCGUACAUAGUAGUGCUCUUUUGAUAGUAGGUGGUCGAAGUGUCGAAACACUCGAACAAGCACAAACUGAUCCUAGCAUCGAAGUGCUUUGUUUUUCCUUUGCAUCAAACUAUUUUUGUGUGCUCCAGAGUUCAGUGGGACAUAUGAUUGUCGUGCUCCAGCCCGUUUAAUCUCAGGUUUGAUCUUUUUUCAGCUCUUAUAUGUAUAGUACUUGGUUAUACAAACAUGGAACUGAUGGAUAUGUUGGAUUAAUGGAUGCAUAAUUACACACCUGAUGAUGAAUAGAUGGAAUUAAUGGAUGCAUACAUAUAUGAUUAGACCCUUAAUAAGCUUAGAUGUACUAUGGUUUAUUGCAUUCUCAGUAGGUUGAUAAUUACUGUAUAUGAAAACAAAAUUGCGCGUUCUUAUUUUGUUGGAAUAUUCCCACAAGGCCACACCGGCAAGAUAAUUAGUUUCUUUUUUAUGAAACCAAUAGCUAAUCUAUAUAUUUGCAGGUGAUUCAGAUGAGCAUCUCCCGACUUUAUGCAACAAUCAAAUUUAUUUGAAGUACCAAUAUUUGCAAUAAACAUUCUUAAUCCAUAUAAGUUACGGGAUUUAUAAAUCUUUUCACCACUUCAUAUGUUUGGAGGGGAACAUCUAAGAAACCGAUGGAUCACGUAUAUGUUUUAUGGCAUAAAUACAAUAUAAUUAAUGUGAAAACCACUGAUGUGUCUUAGGAUCACAUGAUCUGUUUAAAAUAAUAUAUAAUUUGCACUCAGCGGAAAAAACUCCCAAAAAAGUUCGCAUGUAAAUGACUGAAUAUUAUAUCCAUAUUUCAGUUUUGUCUCAUUGACAAAAGUAAUCAUUGCGAUGCACCUGAAGAUAUAUACGAUUAUCAUGGUAAGUAUUUCCGUUCCGUGCAGGGUCUUGCGAGCGGGGAAGGAGAGCACCUGUGAGGUAAGAAGGCACCAAUGCAACACGCUGUGAAACCUCGGCAUCACAGACGGGAUUCUGUCCAAGGAUGCAGAUUUUGAAGUGUCAAGUAUGAUGAUUUGGUUGGAUGCCUUCUGCCUCUGAGCUUCACUGAACACUUGCGUCCACCACCAACCUGCACAUCCGGAAGAAGAGAAGCAAGCUUUCUCCCUCAACCACAACCCGCAUCCAUGAUCCCAGUGCAAAGCUCCUGGUCAACAAUGCCUCACAUGAUGUGUCAUGGAGCCGCCACCCACUGAUGCCUACCACCUCGAUCCACUCAGUUAUGCCCCUCAAUGGAUCUGGGGAGAGAACCCAUGACUAUGAGCAUUGAGAAGAUUAGGUGCGGCAAUUAGGUGUGUGGUCACAAAAAUGAUUGUUUCAUGCUUCUCUUCGCCCAUCUGUAAUGUGUACUCAUCCAGAGCAAUCUAUAAUUUUUUUGGCAUAGUCUGUAGCUUUGAAUUAACUCCGUAGCCUCCAUGUUCUUAAAUAAUUUAAGUGGGUUAAUUAAGGGACUGCAUUGCAAUUUGUUUUAGGGUUGGAAGUCAAUAUACUUUAACUUAGGUUAGUGCUUUGUUUGGGAUAGAAAAGUUGGUAAGCUAUUGGUAAU